AAUUUAAAUAGCCAAUAUAUUGGUUUAAGAACAUUAGGUUGGCCAUAUGGAACCUACUAUUAGUCCCUGGAAUAUACCAAUUUUUGUAAUUAAGAAAAAGUCUGGUAAAUGGAGAUUGGUGCAAGAUCUCAGGGCAAUUAAUUAUGUUAUUGAGCCCACGGGAGCUUUACACCCAGGGCUUCCUUCAGACCAUUAUCCAAUGGUGAUAGAUCUGAAAGACUGUUUUUUUCACUAUACAUUUGCACCCAGACGACUGUAAAAAAAA
RNAcentral lists this small RNA (265 nucleotides) under Marmota monax (woodchuck). The record is from RNAcentral. Lineage: Eukaryota; Metazoa; Chordata; Mammalia; Rodentia; Sciuridae.